This 1328-nucleotide ribosomal RNA is filed under the name Comoclathris incompta. RNAcentral's name for it is "eukaryotic LSU rRNA". It matches the Rfam family "Eukaryotic large subunit ribosomal RNA", at positions 68 to 1414 of the family's 3401-position model. The record is from RNAcentral. Lineage: Eukaryota; Fungi; Ascomycota; Dothideomycetes; Pleosporales; Pleosporaceae.
ACAGGGAUUGCCCUAGUAACGGCGAGUGAAGCGGCAACAGCUCAAAUUUGAAAUCUGGCCCUUUUAGGGUCCGAGUUGUAAUUUGCAGAGGGCGCUUUGGCAUAGGCAGCGGUCCAAGUUCCUUGGAACCGGACGUCACAGAGGGUGAGAAUCCCGUACGUGGCCGCGAGCUCUUGCCGUGUAAAGCCCCUUCGACGAGUCGAGUUGUUUGGGAAUGCAGCUCUAAAUGGGAGGUAAAUUUCUUCUAAAGCUAAAUAUUGGCCAGAGACCGAUAGCGCACAAGUAGAGUGAUCGAAAGAUGAAAAGCACUUUGGAAAGAGAGUCAAAAAGCACGUGAAAUUGUUGAAGGGGAAGCGCUUGCAGCCAGACUUGCCUGUAGUUGCUCAUCCGGGCUCUUGCCCGGUGCACUCUUCUGUAGGCAGGCCAGCAUCAGUUUGGGCGGUUGGAUAAAGGUCUCUGUCAUGUACCUCCCUUCGGGGUGGCCUUAUAGGGGAGACGACAUACAACCAGCCUGGACUGAGGUCCGCGCAUUCGUGCUAGGAUGCUGGCGUAAUGGCUGUAAGCGGCCCGUCUUGAAACACGGACCAAGGAGUCUAACAUCUAUGCGAGUGUUUGGGUGUCAAGCCCGAGCGCGUAAUGAAAGUGAACGGAGGUAGGAACCCAUUUGGGUGCACUAUCGACCGAUCCUGAUGUCUUCGGAAGGAUUUGAGUAAGAGCAUGGCUGUUGGGACCCGAAAGAUGGUGAACUAUGCUUGAAUAGGGUGAAGCCAGAGGAAACUCUGGUGGAGGCUCGCAGCGGUUCUGACGUGCAAAUCGAUCGUCAAAUUUGGGCAUAGGGGCGAAAGACUAAUCGAACUAUCUAGUAGCUGGUUCCUGCCGAAGUUUCCCUCAGGAUAGCUAUAACGAAUUCAGUUUUAUGAGGUAAAGCGAAUGAUUAGAGGCCUGGGGGUUGAAACAACCUUCACCUAUUCUCAAACUUUAAAUAUGUAAGAAGUCCUUGUUACUUAAUUGAACGUGGACAUUUGAAUGAUCGUUAUAAGUGGGCCAUUUUUGGUAAGCAGAACUGGCGAUGCGGGAUGAACCGAACGAGGGGUUACGGUGCCGGAAUACACGCUCAUCAGACACCACAAAAGGUGUUAAUUCAUCUAGACAGCAGGACGGUGGCCAUGGAAGUCGGAAUCCGCUAAGGAGUGUGUAACAACUCACCUGCCGAAUGAAUUAGCCCUGAAAAUGGAUGGCGCUCAAGCGUGUUACCUAUACCCCUCCGCCGGGGCAAAAUUUACGCCCCGGCGAGUAGGCAGGCGUGGAGGUCCGUGACGAAGCCUUGG